AGGAGUGGAGCGUUUGCCCUCUUGAGUCUGGCCACGGACUGGUGCCGUUGCAUGGGAAGAGUCGGAUGUUUCCCGGGUGUGUGUUUGUGUGUCUGAGCGUGGGCCCUGUGCGUGCGUGGCUGGCAGCGUGUUCACCUGUGAAUCUGCCCCUUUCCUGUUGCUUAUUGGUGUGGCGCCCUCACACUUCACCUAUCCCCAGCACCUCCCCCCCAACACACCUGGAUUUCCCAGCAGGGCAUAACCCCAAG
RNAcentral lists this long non-coding RNA (248 nucleotides) under Homo sapiens (human). RNAcentral describes it as "HSALNT0261342". Lineage: Eukaryota; Metazoa; Chordata; Mammalia; Primates; Hominidae. The record is from RNAcentral.